AUUGAACGCUAGCGGGAUGCCUUACACAUGCAAGUCGAACGAGUGGCGAACGGGGGAGUAAUGUCUGGGAAACUGCACGAUGGAGGGGGAUAAAUACUGGAAACGGUAGCUAAUAGCGCAUACCAUAGGAAGUGAAAAGAUGGGAGUCGCUAGUGGGUGUGGUAAUGGCUAACCUAGGCGACGAGCCCUAGCUGGUCUUAGAGGAUGACCAGCCAACCUGGAACUGAGACACGGUCCAGACUCCUACGGGAGGCAGCAGUGGGGAAUAUUGCCCAAUGGGCGCAAGCCUGCUGCAGCCAUGCCGCGUGUAUUAAGAAGGCCUUCGGGUUGUAAAGUACUUUCAGCGAGGAGGCGUUACUCGCAGAAGAAGCACCGGCUAACUCCGUGCCAGCCGCCGCGGUAAUUC
This 406-nucleotide ribosomal RNA is filed under the name uncultured bacterium. RNAcentral describes it as "partial 16S ribosomal RNA". It matches the Rfam family "Bacterial small subunit ribosomal RNA", at positions 30 to 526 of the family's 1533-position model. The record is from RNAcentral.